Molecule: ribosomal RNA, 415 nt
Filed under: Afipia sp. MG25
Lineage: Bacteria; Pseudomonadati; Pseudomonadota; Alphaproteobacteria; Hyphomicrobiales; Nitrobacteraceae
Description: bacterial SSU rRNA
Rfam family: Bacterial small subunit ribosomal RNA
Source: RNAcentral
GAUCCUGGCUCAGAGCGAACGCUGGCGGCAGGCUUAACACAUGCAAGUCGAGCGGGCGUAGCAAUACGUCAGCGGCAGACGGGUGAGUAACGCGUGGGAACGUACCUUUUGGUUCGGAACAACACAGGGAAACUUGUGCUAAUACCGGAUAAGCCCUUACGGGGAAAGAUUUAUCGCCGAAAGAUCGGCCCGCGUCUGAUUAGCUAGUUGGUGAGGUAAUGGCUCACCAAGGCGACGAUCAGUAGCUGGUCUGAGAGGAUGAUCAGCCACAUUGGGACUGAGGCACGGCCCAAACUCCUACGGGAGGCAGCAGUGGGGAAUAUUGGACAAUGGGGGCAACCCUGAUCCAGCCAUGCCGCGUGAGUGAUGAAGGCCCUAGGGUUGUAAAGUUCUUUUGUGCGGGAAGAUAAUGACG